GCCUGGGUGGCUCAGUCGGUUAAGCGUCCGACUCUUGAUCUUGGCUCGGGUCACGAUCUUGUGCUUCGUGGGUUCGAGCCCCACAUCAGGCU
RNAcentral lists this transfer RNA (92 nucleotides) under Felis catus (domestic cat). It matches the Rfam family "tRNA". From Rfam's summary of the family: Transfer RNA (tRNA) molecules are approximately 80 nucleotides in length. Their secondary structure includes four short double-helical elements and three loops (D, anti-codon, and T loops). The record is from Rfam by way of RNAcentral. Lineage: Eukaryota; Metazoa; Chordata; Mammalia; Carnivora; Felidae.